This 339-nucleotide small RNA is filed under the name Histoplasma capsulatum var. duboisii H88. RNAcentral describes it as "Histoplasma capsulatum H88 hypothetical RNA". Lineage: Eukaryota; Fungi; Ascomycota; Eurotiomycetes; Onygenales; Ajellomycetaceae. The record is from RNAcentral.
UAUAAAAGACAUGAGAUAAUCUGUUCAAUCCAAUAUGGCUAAAAAACUCACAAAGGAAUGGGACUAAGGAAGAGAACCGGGGAAGGUAAGUAUCGACCAACAAUAUAACUACUUUGUUGUAUUACAUCGGUAAUAAUGAUCAAUCGUAAACAAACUGUCAUUCCCCAUCAGCAGUACUACUACACAAGACGAGAUAGGGAAUAAAUGCCAAAAAAGUGGGGGAAUGAAAAAAAAAAAAAAUUGGAAGGAUUAAAUAACUCCAGUAGCCAUAAGAACUUAUAUUAUUAAAUCCAUAUCCGCCAAGUUGAGAUAUCCGUUGAAAAUCCGCAUUUUCUUUGU